This 511-nucleotide ribosomal RNA is filed under the name uncultured bacterium. Its description in RNAcentral is "bacterial LSU rRNA". It matches the Rfam family "Bacterial large subunit ribosomal RNA", at positions 1648 to 2180 of the family's 2925-position model. The record is from RNAcentral.
CAUAAACCGACACAGGUGGGUUGGUAGAAUAUACCAAGGCGCUUGAGGUAAUAGUAGCUAAGGAACUCGGCAAAAUAGCUCUGUAACUUUGGAAUAAAGAGUGCUGCCUUUUGGCAGUCACAGUAAAGAGGGAACAACGACUGUUUAUUAAAAACACAGGUCUGUGCAAAAUGUUUAAUGAUGUAUACAGACUGACACUUGUCCAAUGAGGAAAGUUUAAGAGGAGAAAUGAAAGUUUUGAUUCUAAAGCCCCUUGAAUGACGGCUGUAACUAUAACGGUCCUAAGGUAGCGAAAUUCCUAGGCACAUAAUUGGUGUCCUGCAUGAAUAGUGUAACGAUUGUUCUACUGUCUCUGCUACUAUCUCAGUGAAAUUGAAUUAUCCGUGCAGAUGCGGAUUUUUUCUAGAAAGACGGAAAGACCCCAUGAACCUUUACUACAUGUUUAUAUCGUAUUAUUCUGAUAAUGUACAGUUUAAAUAUGAAGUUUAUGAUCUCUUGGCGCUAGUCAAUU